RNAcentral lists this ribosomal RNA (462 nucleotides) under uncultured Streptococcus sp. Its description in RNAcentral is "bacterial SSU rRNA". It matches the Rfam family "Bacterial small subunit ribosomal RNA", at positions 920 to 1382 of the family's 1533-position model. Lineage: Bacteria; Bacillati; Bacillota; Bacilli; Lactobacillales; Streptococcaceae. The record is from RNAcentral.
CCCGCACAAGCGGUGGAGCAUUGUGGUUUAAUUCGAAGCAACGCGAAGAACCUUACCAGGUCUUGACAUCCCGAUGCUAUUUCUAGAGAUAGAAAGUUACUUCGGUACAUCGGUGACAGGUGGUGCAUGGUUGUCGUCAGCUCGUGUCGUGAGAUGUUGGGUUAAGUCCCGCAACGAGCGCAACCCCUAUUGUUAGUUGCCAUCAUUCAGUUGGGCACUCUAGCGAGACUGCCGGUAAUAAACCGGAGGAAGGUGGGGAUGACGUCAAAUCAUCAUGCCCCUUAUGACCUGGGCUACACACGUGCUACAAUGGUUGGUACAACGAGUUGCGAGUCGGUGACGGCGAGCUAAUCUCUUAAAGCCAAUCUCAGUUCGGAUUGUAGGCUGCAACUCGCCUACAUGAAGUCGGAAUCGCUAGUAAUCGCGGAUCAGCACGCCGCGGUGAAUACGUUCCCGGGCCCU